This is a non-coding RNA of Oryza glaberrima (African rice), 210 nucleotides long. The record is from Rfam. Lineage: Eukaryota; Viridiplantae; Streptophyta; Magnoliopsida; Poales; Poaceae.
UUUAAAUACAACCAUAAAUUUUCAUGUCCAGAUUUAAUCAUCUAUCUUAUUUAAAAUUUUUAUAAUUAUUAUUUUUUGUUGUUAUUAGAUAAUAAAACAUAAAUAAUACUUUACGUGUGAUGUGACUUAUAUUUUUAAUUUUUUUCAAAAAAAAUUUCACAUAAGACGAAUGAUCAAAGUUGGAUAUGUAAAAUCAUGGUUGCACUUAAG